Molecule: ribosomal RNA, 224 nt
Filed under: uncultured bacterium
Lineage: Bacteria
Description: partial 16S ribosomal RNA
Rfam family: Bacterial small subunit ribosomal RNA
Source: RNAcentral
GACGAACGCUGGCGGCGUGCUUAACACAUGCAAGUCGAGCGGUAAGGCCCUUUCGGGGGUACACGAGCGGCGAACGGGUGAGUAACACGUGGGUGACCUGCCCUCAGCUCUGGGAUAAGCCUGGGAAACCGGGUCUAAUACUGGAUAUGACUCCAUGACGCAUGUUGUGGGGUGGGAAAGACCUUGUGCGGCUGAGGAUGGGCCCGGCGGCCUAUCAGCUUGUU